CCUACGGGCGGCAGCAGUGGGGAAUAUUGGACAAUGGGGGGAACCCUGAUCCAGCCAUGCCGCGUGUGUGAAGAAGGCCAUCGGGUUGUAAAGCACUUUCAGUGAGGAAGAACGCCUGGUGGUUAAUACCCAUCAGGAAAGACAUCACUCACAGAAGAAGCACCGGCUAACUCCGUGCCAGCAGCCGCGGUAAUACGGAGGGUGCGAGCGUUAAUCGGAAUUACUGGGCGUAAAGCGCGCGUAGGUGGCUUGAUAAGCCGGUUGUGAAAGCCCCGGGCUCAACCUGGGAACGGCAUCCGGAACUGUCAAGCUAGAGUGCAGGAGAGGAAGGUAGAAUUCCCGGUGUAGCGGUGAAAUGCGUAGAGAUCGGGAGGAAUACCAGUGGCGAAGGCGGCCUUCUGGACUGACACUGACACUGAGGUGCGAAAGCGUGGGUAGCAAACAGGAUUAGAUACCCUAGUAGUC
This 465-nucleotide ribosomal RNA is filed under the name Vreelandella stevensii. Its description in RNAcentral is "partial 16S ribosomal RNA". It matches the Rfam family "Bacterial small subunit ribosomal RNA", at positions 338 to 795 of the family's 1533-position model. Lineage: Bacteria; Pseudomonadati; Pseudomonadota; Gammaproteobacteria; Oceanospirillales; Halomonadaceae. The record is from RNAcentral.